UUUUCUCCAUUACAAUGAAUCUAUGCAUGUAUUGCAUAAUCUGAGUAAACUUUUUUUUUUCUCUUGGGAAAUGUAUUGUGCAUACCUCGGCGUCCCGGUGGGGGGGAAUCCGAGAUUAUACGGGACUACUAAAACCCCACACGCGCCUAAGAUACUUGGGAAGUGCCUGGAUCUUGCGAGUAUUCAACAGGACACAUCCCAGCAACCUAAACCUUAACUUGCUGACCAUUACAACGUACGUAUAUAUGUUUCUAUGGAAGCGCACAGGAAUGUGAACUUAAGGUGCAAGCCCGAUUCAGAAUGUUGAAAUGAGGCGUUUUUUUAUAUUAAGAGGAUCUUUAUGAAACUUGCAGGGCCUUAAACUGGAUAAUUGGUGAUAACAAAUAAUAUUUUUCAAUACAAAAUUGUCCGUGGAAAGCCGUGUAUAUGCAUAACAUAAGCCAUGUCAUCAACCGGGUUGCACCCUUAAAGUAGUUUAACAAUAAGUUAAACUUACAAGGAAAAUACAAUUUGCGAAAUAAAGAAGUACAAUCUUACCGGCAUACUCAACGAAGCAAAUGGUGAGCGGUGACUUGCGAAUUUUCUCUUCGAAGAGAUCCUUCUUGUUCAAGAAUAGGAUAAUUGAGGACUUGAUCAUAUUCGGACAUCGCAACGCAAAAUAUGAUCGCAGUGACGUCUUCGAAGCAGUGUAUCCAUUUCUUACGUUCACUUCUUUGGCCGCCCACGUCGAAUAAUCUGUUACAUAAACAAGCAAUUAAUUAGUAAUCAAAUACCGAAGUCUGUUGGUGUAGCUUAUGUAUAAAUUAAAAGUAUAACUAGAGUUAUAAAUGAUUCCAUACGAUGGCACGAAAUUAAUUUCUAUUCCUAAAAUUUGGAUACUUUGGAAAAAGUAAUCGAGACAUACGUAUUGUAUUUAAACAUUGAGUCUAAUUAGCAAAAGUAUACAGUUUAUUUAGUUAAUUCAUAAUGUUUCUUCUAAAAUGAAUUCCAAACAGUACAGUACAGUACAGUACAGUGUUUAAUUUUGAGGCAACUUUAAUAUGUAACCCAUUGAAAAUAUUCAAAUAAAACAUUGACGUCUUGAGAUCAAAUUUUACCAUCAUAUUCCACGACGUGCUAAAAUAGAAGGCACACACUUAUCUUAAAAAGUAAUCACAAA
This is a long non-coding RNA of Hylaeus anthracinus, 1159 nucleotides long. RefSeq lists it as uncharacterized. The transcript is spliced from 4 exons. Lineage: Eukaryota; Metazoa; Arthropoda; Insecta; Hymenoptera; Colletidae. The record is from RefSeq and is a predicted model, not a curated record.